RNAcentral lists this ribosomal RNA (929 nucleotides) under Betta splendens (Siamese fighting fish). Its description in RNAcentral is "partial 16S ribosomal RNA". The stretch from base 155 to 665 matches the Rfam family "Bacterial large subunit ribosomal RNA", at positions 573 to 1301 of the family's 2925-position model. The record is from RNAcentral. RNAcentral also lists the same sequence under 1 other name. Lineage: Eukaryota; Metazoa; Chordata; Actinopteri; Anabantiformes; Osphronemidae.
CUAUUAAUAACCCCUAAUACACCAAACACCAAAAACUAAACCAUUUUUCCCUCCAAGUAUGGGUGACAAAAAAGAAACGCUCUUUAAAGCUAUAGAAAAAGUACCGCAAGGGAACGCUGAAAAAGAAAUGAAACAAACAGUAAAGUUAAAAAAAGCAGAAAUUUAUCUUCGUACCUUUUGCAUCAUGAUUUAGUAAGUAAAAACCAAGCAAAAAGCAUUUUAGUUUGGCCCCCCGAAACUAAGUGAGCUACUCCAAGACAGCCUAAAACAUUAGGGCUAACCCUUCUCUGUGGCAAAAGAGUGGGAUGAGCUUAGAGUAGAGGUGAUAGACCUACCGAACUUAGUUAUAGCUGGUUGCUUGAGAAAUGAAUAGGAGUUCAGCUUUCUGGUUUCUCAUCUCCAAACUGCUUUAAUUACACCUGAAUUAAGAAACCAAAAAAGUUAAUUAAAGAGGGUACAGCCCCUUUAAACAAGAUACAACUUCAUCAGAUGGGUAAAGAUCAUAUUUUACUUAAGGGAAAAUGUUUUAGUGGGCCUGAAAGCAGCCAUCUAUAAGAAAGCGUUAAAGCUCCCUCAUAGUUUUAUCCAUUAAUCCCGAUAACCCUUCCUAAACCCACUAAUUUUAUCAAGCCACUCCAUGUCAACAUGGAUGAGAUUAUGCUAAUAUGAGUAAUAAGAAAAACUAGAUUUUCUCCAUGCACAAGUGUAACUCGAAACGGACCCCCCAUCUGAAACUUACUUCGGCCCCAAAUAAAAGAGGGUAAUGAACCACAACCUUAAUAACAAGAAAAACAACCAAAAACUAACCGUUAACCCCACACUGGUGUUCUCACCAGGAAAGACUAAAAGAAAAAGAAGGAACUCGGCAAAUACAAGCCUCGCCUGUUUACCAAAAACAUCGCCUCUUGCUAAUCAAGAAUAAGAGGUCC